RNAcentral lists this ribosomal RNA (253 nucleotides) under uncultured bacterium. RNAcentral's name for it is "partial 16S ribosomal RNA". It matches the Rfam family "Bacterial small subunit ribosomal RNA", at positions 524 to 776 of the family's 1533-position model. The record is from RNAcentral.
UACGAAGGGGGCUAGCGUUGUUCGGAUUUACUGGGCGUAAAGCGCACGUAGGCGGACUAUUAAGUCAGGGGUGAAAUCCCGGGGCUCAACCCCGGAACUGCCUUUGAUACUGGUAGUCUUGAGUUCGAGAGAGGUGGGUGGAAUUCCGAGUGUAGAGGUGAAAUCCGUAGAUAUUCGGAGGAACACCAGUGGCGAAGGCGGCUCACUGGCUCGAUACUGACGCUGAGGUGCGAAAGCGUGGGGAGCAAACAGG